CCCACAUUCAUAUUCGUACCUGGAAGAAUCUUGUAAUACGUUUUCAGACACCCCUAAAGUGGACCGUACCAUUUCUUAAACUUGAACACCUCCCCCAACAAUGGCUCCCAACUUCAAGUCUCACGUCUCCGUGCGUCGCGCAGACACUGCACAUUAAUAUAACAAUAGCUAACUAUCUAGCUUGCUCCGCUUCAGAGUUUCUGAAUUAUAUUGUGUCAAGUAUCAACAGAUGAACCAUAACGUUACCUAGUUUCUAACUUUAGCCUCAAGUUACACUAGCUACAAGUUAACUAGCUAAUGCUAGCUAGCUGGUUCGGCGGCCUUUCGUUCCAAAUGUUGGCUUGGCAUUUUGUUACUAAAAUAAAAUGUCAUAUUACCUCAUUUGACCAAACCCAUUGGUCAUUUCACUGGUACUCAGUUAUGAGCAGUGAGACAAUAGAUAAUAAGUUGUUAUAAACAUACGAUUUGACAUCAUUAUUAAUUAGGCUUUGUUUUCAAUUCAGGAGUUUUACCUGGAUGGAUAAUUGAACAAUAUCCAAAUCUGUGUGUUGAAGGCUGAGCAAUUGUAUUAGUGGUGGAAAGUAAUUUCCAAAUAAACAUUUACAGUACAGUUUUGAGGUUAGGGUUACUUGUACUUUACUUUAGCUUUUCCAUUUUAUGCUAUUACUACCACUCCACUACAUUUCAGAGGGAAAUAUUAUACCUUCUACUCCUUUACAUUUAUUUUACAGCUUCAGUUAAACAAGAAAGAUACUGUAAGGACUUCUGUUCGCUGAAGCACAAGCCUACACGAAAGGGACCAUGGCACUGUGUCAUUUGUGGCCAAGAGAGAAGAUGGCAAGCCUCAAAAGACAGUCUGCAAAAUCCUAACAGGGAGAAAAGAUUCUUUCUUUGCUCCCCAACAGCUGAGCACAAAACAGUUUGACAUGACUGUAAAACACAAUGAAGCUUGGACAAGCUACAAACUGCACUGAAUCUGAGAACGAGGCCAAACAUGGAUAUUCACUUGAUGACAGACACAAAAGCUACAAUAGUCACUUUGGUCUCAGUUCUUUGAGCUUCUUCAGUUGCUUCACGAUGAAUGCAAUCUCAGCUUUAAGAAAGAGGCCAGAGGAUUGUCAACAAAAAUCAUUCAUGUGAUGUCUUUUGAUACUGCACACUUCCUGGUGACAGUAUACUCAGAACUUUAAAAGUAAGAAAACUGAAGUUGUUUCACAUGGUUACAGCUGAUAUAACACUAGCAGCAGAGCUAUUUUUACUGUUGCUGUGUUUGGGCACUUCACCUGUUCACAUGGGAAUGUAGCUUACUGUGUAAUUCACUACAGCAAAGCACAGCACCAGUGACUCUAGAUCUUUGCGGCAUGAUCAUCACCACCAUCUCCGGUAACUGCAGAUCCACAGGGCAAAGGUUAAGGUGGACUAUAAAGUGUGUUUGGUGUCGUAAUCAGUGUUCCCACAUAUUCUUUAACAUAAAAUUCAAGGACCUUAAAAGCCCAAUUCCCUAAAAUUUGAGGACAGAACACAGCGUUGUUUGAGACACGGAUCAAGGUUAAUUAACUUUUAUAAUGAGAACUCCAACGCUUUACAGAAGCUCACUGACAACAAUUACAAAGAGAGAGAGGCUUGAAUGUGUGAACACUGCUCUUUUGUGCUGUGCUACAGUGAUGGCAGACUAUGUGGUCUCUUGCACACAUUUCUGUUUCUGCACAGAAUAUAUAAAUUCAAGCACUUUCAAUGAACCAUGUCUAUUUGGGUCAAAAUCCGUUAAGGUCUUGAGUUUUUUUUCCAAAUUCACAAACUUUCAAGGAUUUCCAGGACCCGUGGGAACCAUACGUUAUUCUUAGCUUUGUGUGGACGUAGUCAAAGAAAACCCUGCACAAUGCUACUCAAUAUGGCAGCAGCUGUAGCGAUGUGCUGUUAAAUGCUCUAUCUUAGCUGCACAUCUCGGGAGACAUCUAAUUUUCAAAUCUGUCUAACCCUAUUCGAAAGAAACAGCUGCAGAAGAGCGGGUGUGUCUGUCCUCAGAGUUUGUGUGUGUAUGUGUGUGUGUGAGCGGGGCUGAAUGGAGAAAUGAUUCAAGUCAAUUUCUCAAAGUUUUAGCAUAUGAAACUAUAACUAUUUAAACAUAUUUACCAUUACUCUGUAUUUGUACUCUAAAUGUCUAUUCGUAUGCAUUUGUUGCUGAGGAGGAUCCAAUGUAGAAACUGGAAUCAUCUCCUCUCCCCUGAUUUCUUCAUCUCAGCUCGUCUCUUCUCCUCAUUCCUCCUCAUCCCCUCACGUCACCUCUCCCCAUCUCCCGUUUCCCUCCUUACUCAUCCGCAGACAUGGAGGAAUGUUAUUUCCCCAGAAGGAAAUUCAAUAGGGCAUAGCAGACCAGAAACUUAGUCGGGGAGGAGGAGGCUCAGGCAAAGAGGGUAUAGCCAGAACUGAUCCGGCAGGAUGGAGGAGGCAAAACCCCUUAAUCCCUGUGACAUUUUAGCUCAGACCUCUCAUCAAAGCCUGCAAGUUGCUAUACUGCCCAGGAAAAUGGAUGGUUGGAUGUUUGUGAGAGACUGAAGGAGAUGAAGGCUGAGGGACACACAGACGGGCAGAGACAGACAAAGACCGACAAGCAGGUGCUGGAAUAGUCAAAGGAGAGAGGUUUUAAGAAGCUGCGGGUCUUGAAUCAGGUGAAUUGCUGAUUAAAGCUGUGGUAGCCCCGAUAUAGAGGCCAGUCUCUCCUCUCUUACUUGCCUGCAUCACAUCUUCUCUAUUCAAAAUGCAAACACCAUGACACUCUCUGAGAUGCUGCUCUGUGCAUACUGAGUCCCUCACCAGCGAUGCUUUACCCCUCGGUUGUGCUCAGUGGUAUCAUAACUUCCGUGCCACACUUUGACACCCCGUCACAGCCAGCUGGGCAUUCACUCCUCCCCUGUGGGCAUGGUCUGUUAUACCCCAGCAGGCAGCAGCUCCUCUACCUCUAUCAGCCCCCACCUUGAACAGCCUCUGUCCGUAUCAUUCCUCUGCACACCGCCUCCUGGAUCCAGGCAUGAAGAUCCCUGGAGGGUGGGACCUAGGUGCCAAAUGUUUCUACAGGCAUGAAAGAGAGGAGAGACAGAGGGAAAACGGCAAGAGAUAAAUUUGAAACUGAAAAAGCCGUGCGCCUGAAUGCCAACGUGUUGCAGAUAAUAUAAAGCCUUUCUGUUACCCAAUUUACACCUUUUCCUUGUGCUACUCACCAAUAAAUGGAGCCAUAUGCAGUGUGUGAAGCUUUUUGUCUACCUUUAAUGUGAGUUAAAAGUGUGCAGGUCCCUUGCUGUGCUUUGGAUGCUUGCCUGCCCUUGGAUGAAACACAAACAGGAGCACACAGACAGAACAUCAGGUACACUAACUGUGUAGAAAAAGAGAGCUGUAUUUGUCUUGAGUUUGACAAAAACAGGUCAGAUGAUCAAACAUAAAGAACAAUAGAACCAGGACCUCAAAAGGCCCGAUAUAACGUCUUCCAUCCAAGAGAGAAGGAAAAAAAAAAAAAAUAGAAACAGUACAUGAAACUGUUUGAUUACACACUUUGGAUGACUUUCAGACCCAGUGUGUGUGUGAUGAAAUACCGUCAGUUUUCCCUGCAACAGCCUAAGCAAGGUGAAUCCUAUGAAGUUUUUGUUUCAGUGUAAAUUAUGUUUGGCUGAGGUCAUUCGCUAAGUACUCAUUUCAA
This is a long non-coding RNA of Seriola aureovittata, 3691 nucleotides long. RefSeq lists it as uncharacterized. The record is from RefSeq and is a predicted model, not a curated record. The transcript is spliced from 3 exons. Lineage: Eukaryota; Metazoa; Chordata; Actinopteri; Carangiformes; Carangidae.